Molecule: ribosomal RNA, 657 nt
Filed under: Klebsiella aerogenes
Lineage: Bacteria; Pseudomonadati; Pseudomonadota; Gammaproteobacteria; Enterobacterales; Enterobacteriaceae
Also listed under: 6 other names
Description: partial 23S ribosomal RNA
Rfam family: Bacterial large subunit ribosomal RNA
Source: RNAcentral
UAGGUUAACGAGGCGAACCGGGGGAACUGAAACAUCUAAGUACCCCGAGGAAAAGAAAUCAACCGAGAUUCCCCCAGUAGCGGCGAGCGAACGGGGAGCAGCCCAGAGUCUGAAUCAGCUUGUGUGUUAGUGGAACGGUCUGGAAAGUCCGACGGUACAGGGUGAUAGUCCCGUACACCAAAAUGCACAGGUUGUGAACUCGAAGAGUAGGGCGGGACACGUGGUAUCCUGUCUGAAUAUGGGGGGACCAUCCUCCAAGGCUAAAUACUCCUGACUGACCGAUAGUGAACCAGUACCGUGAGGGAAAGGCGAAAAGAACCCCGGCGAGGGGAGUGAAAAAGAACCUGAAACCGUGUACGUACAAGCAGUGGGAGCACCUUCGGGUGUGACUGCGUACCUUUUGUAUAAUGGGUCAGCGACUUAUAUUCUGUAGCAAGGUUAACCGUAUAGGGGAGCCGCAGGGAAACCGAGUCUUAACUGGGCGUUAAGUUGCAGGGUAUAGACCCGAAACCCGGUGAUCUAGCCAUGGGCAGGUUGAAGGUUGGGUAACACUAACUGGAGGACCGAACCGACUAAUGUUGAAAAAUUAGCGGAUGACUUGUGGCUGGGGGUGAAAGGCCAAUCAAACCGGGAGAUAGCUGGUUCUCCCCGAAAGCU